GAAUGGGGAGGACCCUUUGCUCUCGCUGAGCACUGUGUGGCCCCCUAGUCUCUCCCGGCUCUCUCGGGUCCGAAGGGUCUGGGUCCCAGAACAGCCAUCUCAGCGUGGGUUGGUGACGUGGAGGAGACCGCUCCGGUUUCCACGGUGAUGGGCCAGGCUAGGCGCGCGUGAUUGCUGCUGCCCUUCCCGUUUCUUUUUGAGAGACUGAAGCAGUGGGUUGACGUUUGAGGGGAAUUUGGUGACGCUGCAGAGGGAGGGAAGACUCCCCUUUCCAACCUCCUGAGAAAAACCAGCCACGGUACCAGAAAUGCACUACGCAUGCGCAUUCGGGUGGCCGGAAGCGCCGCUGCCCCGAGUCCUCCAGUGAAUGGAGAGCCCGGUGAACCGGCAGUAUACCUGGACCGAAAGCCCCCUUUGCCUUCUCACCACUUGGAGCUGACAGGCGGCAGCCCCACCUCACCCUCACUUCAGCAUCCAGAGCCACGGACUGGGUCUGGGACAGACCGCACCCAAUGAAGGCGGGAGAUGGAGAAGCGGGUCCUGGAGACCCCCCCAGACUUUCUGGGGUUCAGUCCAUCUCAACUGAGGAUACACCCUGGGGAGCCUGAGGUCCCAGAAGAAGAGGCGCCCGGAGGAGACGAGGCGAAGGCUCCGGCCCUGGUGCAGCUCAUCGACGAGCACGGGACGUACUCGACUGCGCGCCUGGUUCCCGACGGUUCGGCGGAGGAGCGCUCCGGUAAGCAGGAGCCAGGCUCGCUUCGCAGCGGCUCCGAGGGCCGGGAGGGGCUGGCGCGGCCCAGGCAGUUCAGCUGCGCGGCCUGCGGGAGGGCCUUCAAGCGCGCGUGGGAGCUGCUGAGCCACGAGGUGGUGCACACGGCGGCGCGGCCCUUUCGCUGCGGCCUGUGUGCGGCCGCCUUCAAACGCCGCUCGGACUGCAAGAGCCACCGGCUGGCGCACAGCGACGAGCGGCCGCACGGUUGCGAUGCCUGCGGCAAGCGCUUCAAGCGAGCCACCAACCUGCAGGAGCACCGCCGCCUCCACAGGGGCGAGCGCCCCUUCCCCUGCGCGUCCUGUUCGAAGCGCUCCGAGACCCCCUACGAGCCGCACGCCCCUUCGCGGCCCUUCCCCUGCCGGGACUGCGGCAAGGCCUUCGCGGCUGAGCCGGCCCUGCUUCUGCACCGGCGGCAGCACUGCGAGGACAAGCCGCACGCCUACAGGGUGUGCAGCAAGCGCUUCACCCACCGCCACAGCCUGCGGGUGCACGAGCGCGUGCAUACGGGCGAUCGGCCCUUCGUCUGCCCGCUGUGCGCCAAGGCCUUCAAGCAGUCCGACCCGCUGGCCUCUCACCUCCGCGUGCAUUCGGGCUAGCGGCCCUACCCGUGCGCCACGUGCGGCAAGGCUUUCAAGCAAUCGUCCUACCUGGCCAUCCACCGGCGCACGCACACGGGCGAGCGGCCCUACCCCUGCGACGGUUGCAGCAAAGCCUUCUCCAGGCCCUCGCUGCUCCUGCAGCAUCGCCGCGCGCACAGCCCCGUGCGCCCUCACGUCUGCCGCUUCUGCCCUAAGCACUUCAAGGACCUGAACUACCGCGCCGUCCACGAGAAGGCAUAGCACAGCAAAACCAUCGGUGCUGAGAUCUUCUAGUUGGUGGUGUAUGGCAUUUUAGGAACAAUCGUUUUGCCAGACAUUGGUGUGACCUGCACUUCAGUUCUAUCCCCUCGCAUCUGCAGCCCUGCAACCCUCUAGUACUGGAAUGAGCGCUUGCCAUCCGCAGCUUGGACACGUCUAGGAACCUGUGCUGGAGAAAUGGACUCGGUGACCUUCGAAGAUGUGGCAGUGAACUUCACCAAGGAGGAGUGGGCCCUGCUGGACCCUGCACAGAGGAAACUCUACAGAGAUGUGAUCCUGGAGAACUGCAGGAACCUGGCCUAUGUGGAUUGGGCAACUCGACAUCAAACCAAAGACUUAAUCCCUCAGCAGGACAUUCUUGCUAAAAAGCCAUUUCAGGAAGCGAACAGAGUGUGUCUGGUGAGCAGCAGGUCCCGCCUCUCCGCUUUAGGAAAAGACUGGAAGUCCCAUCAAAUGAAGGAGCUGUGCAAGCAGAGGGGGCAAAAACUGAAGCAAGUUGCAGCCGCCCACGAGAAAGAUGCGUCUCCAGUUGCAAUCUGUGAAUAUCGUGAAACAAGGGACAGCUCUAAACCUGGCCCGAAGCUUGUGCCUUCACAGAGAGAUUCCAUGAGAAAACAUAUCCCAAGAUGUGACUCAGAGAUUCUGAAACAAAUUCUCCUCUUAACCAGUAAUCCAAAAAUCUGCAGAGACAACAAAGAUGACAGAGUCUUGGGGCAGAAAAUGCCAUUGAUGCCGUGCAUGAGAACUCAGACAGAGCCGAAAUCAAACACGUGGAUUGACAAUCAGAACGACAUGCUUCAUUUACGUGAUGAAAUGUACAUGGGGGUGAGCAUCCGUGAAUGCAAUCCAUGUAGAAAAGCCUUAGGGGAAGACAUCUCCCUUAGGACACACGGGACUCAUGUUAAAGAGAAAACUCAUGACUCUCACCAGUGGGAAAACACCUUCUUAAAUAGCUCUAUCCCUGCUGGGCAGAUGCAGCCCUACACAUCAGAGACAAAUAAUGAGAAUAAUCAAAGUGGGAGAACAUUUGUCCAUGUUCCAAAUUCUGAUUCUCACAGGAGAACUUCGAUGGGAGGGAAAAGCUAUAAAUGUGGCAACUGUGGGAAAGCCUUUGUGUAUCACUCAUCGCUUAGGAAACACAUGGAAAUUCACACUGGAGAGAAGCCCUACGAAUGUAAGAAUUGUGGGAAAGCCUUUAGGUAUUUCUUACAUCUUAAUAAACAUUUAAGAAAUCACAUUGUGAAGACCUUUGUAUGUCAGGAAUGUGGGAAAACCUUCAAUAAAUCCUGAAAGCUUAAUGAACAUAUCAGGAUUCACACUGGAGAGAAACCCUAUAAAUGUAAAGAAUGUGGAAAAGGCCACACUAAUUCUUCAAGACUUAAAAACCAUCUAAAGACUCACAGUGGAGAGAUGCCCUGUGGAUGAAAGAAAUGGAGAGAAACCUUCACUAAUUUUCUCAAAAUACUGAAUGCGUAAGGAGGACAUAUUGGAAGGGAGCUCAGUGAAUGAAUGAACGUGGGAAAGUCUUCUCUGAACUCUCAGAUCUUACGGAAAUGUGAGAAUUCACGUUUUGGGGUUUUUUUUUUUU
Molecule: RNA transcript, 3217 nt
Organism: Eubalaena glacialis (North Atlantic right whale)
Lineage: Eukaryota; Metazoa; Chordata; Mammalia; Artiodactyla; Balaenidae
Gene: ZNF114
Gene name: zinc finger protein 114
Exons: 9
Source: RefSeq, a predicted model, not a curated record